GAUGAACGCUGGCGGCGUGCCUAAUACAUGCAAGUCGAGCGAACGGACGAGAAGCUUGCUUUUCUGAUGUUAGCGGCGGACGGGUGAGUAACACGUGGAUAACCUACCUAUAAGACUGGGAUAACUUCGGGAAACCGGAGCUAAUACCGGAUAAUAUUUUGAACCGCAUGGUUCAAAAGUGAAAGACGGUCUUGCUGUCACUUAUAGAUGGAUCCGCGCUGCAUUAGCUAGUUGGUAAGGUAACGGCUUACCAAGGCAACGAUGCAUAGCCGACCUGAGAGGGUGAUCGGCCACACUGGAACUGAGACACGGUCCAGACUCCUACGGGAGGCAGCAGUAGGGAAUCUUCCGCAAUGGGCGAAAGCCUGACGGAGCAACGCCGCGUGAGUGAUGAAGGUCUUCGGAUCGUAAAACUCUGUUAUUAGGGAAGAACAUAUGUGUAAGUAACUGUGCACAUCUUGACGGUACCUAAUCAGAAAGCCACGGCAAACUACGG
RNAcentral lists this ribosomal RNA (496 nucleotides) under uncultured bacterium. Its description in RNAcentral is "partial 16S ribosomal RNA". It matches the Rfam family "Bacterial small subunit ribosomal RNA", at positions 28 to 506 of the family's 1533-position model. The record is from RNAcentral.